Homo sapiens (human) is the source of this 477-nucleotide long non-coding RNA. The record is from Ensembl. NCBI's taxonomy places the organism in Eukaryota, Metazoa, Chordata, Mammalia, Primates, Hominidae.
UAUCUCUAAAGCAAAACCUAUUCUUAAACUAAGAAUGCUUUUUCUUCUUAAAGUACUAGGACAUUUCCAUAAGUUCUGGGUCUUUAUUCAGUUAGUUAACAUUAUUACCUUGUUCCCUCAACCAUGAACAUCUUGUGACCAAGAGUGCCCAACCCUCGGGGAAUGUAACCCAGCAGGUUUGGCUUUUUCUGGCCUUUAUUUUUUUUGCGACAGAGUCUCGCUUCGUCAUCCAGGCUGGAUGCAAUGGCGCAAUCUCUGCUCACUGCAACCUCUGCCUCCCAGGUUCAAACGAUUCUCCUGCCUCAGCCUCCCGAGUAGCUGGGAUUACAGGCGUGCGCCACCAUGCCUGGCUAAUUUUUGUAUUUUUUAGUAGAGACGGGGUUUCACCAUGUUGGCCAGGCUGGUCUUGAACUCCUGACCUCAGGUGAUCUGCCUGCCUCGGCCUCCCAAAGUGCUGGGAUUACAGGCGUGAGCCAC